Molecule: small RNA, 105 nt
Filed under: Marmota monax (woodchuck)
Lineage: Eukaryota; Metazoa; Chordata; Mammalia; Rodentia; Sciuridae
Source: RNAcentral
CAGGUGUGGUGGUGCACACCUGUAAUCCCAGUGACGUGGGAGAUUGAGGCAGGAGGAUCACAAGUUUGAGGCUAGGCUCAGCAACUUAGUGAAACCCUAUCUCAA